GACGAACGCUGGCGGCGUGCUUAACACAUGCAAGUCGAACGGUAAGGCCCUUCGGGGUACACGAGUGGCGAACGGGUGAGUAACACGUGGGUGACCUGCCCUGCACUUUGGGAUAAGCCUGGGAAACUGGGUCUAACACCGGAUAGGACCACUGCCUGCAUGGGUGGUGGUGGAAAGCUUUUGCGGUGUGGGAUGGGCCCGCGGCCUAUCAGCUUGUUGGUGGGGUGAUGGCCUACCAAGGCGACGACGGGUAGCCGGCCUGAGAGGGGUGACCGGCCACACUGGGACUGAGAUACGGCCCAGACUCCUACGGGAGGCAGCAGUGGGGAAUAUUGCACAAUGGGCGCAAGCCUGAUGCAGCGACGCCGCGUGAGGGAUGACGGCCUUCGGGUUGUAAACCUCUUUCAGCACCGACGAAGCGCAAGUGACGGUAGGUGCAGAAGAAGGACCGGCCAACUACGUGCCAGCAGCCGCCGUAA
Molecule: ribosomal RNA, 479 nt
Filed under: uncultured bacterium
Lineage: Bacteria
Description: partial 16S ribosomal RNA
Rfam family: Bacterial small subunit ribosomal RNA
Source: RNAcentral